GGGGCGGUAGCUCAGCUGGUUAGAGCAGCGGACUCAUAAUCCGUCGGUCCUGGGUUCAAGUCCCAGCCGCCCUACCG
RNAcentral lists this transfer RNA (77 nucleotides) under Cryobacterium sp. TmT2-59. RNAcentral's name for it is "tRNA-Met". It matches the Rfam family "tRNA". From Rfam's summary of the family: Transfer RNA (tRNA) molecules are approximately 80 nucleotides in length. Lineage: Bacteria; Bacillati; Actinomycetota; Actinomycetes; Micrococcales; Microbacteriaceae. The record is from RNAcentral.